UACGUAGGGGGCAAGCGUUGUCCGGAAUCAUUGGGCGUAAAGGGCGCGUAGGCGGCCGAUCAAGUCGGGGGUGAAAGCCUGUGGCUUAACCACAGAAUGGCCUUCGAUACUGUUUGGCUUGAGACCGGAAGAGGUUAGUGGAACUGCGAGUGUAGAGGUGAAAUUCAUAGAUAUUCGCAAGAACACCAGUGGCGAAGGCGGCUGACUGGUCCGGUUCUGACGCUGAGGCGCGAAAGCGUGGGGAGCAAACAGG
RNAcentral lists this ribosomal RNA (253 nucleotides) under uncultured bacterium. Its description in RNAcentral is "partial 16S ribosomal RNA". It matches the Rfam family "Bacterial small subunit ribosomal RNA", at positions 524 to 776 of the family's 1533-position model. The record is from RNAcentral.